UCUAGUACUUUUAAUUAAUCAUAUUUAUUGUAUUAUAACAUAUUCUAACCCCAAACAACACUAGAUAAGUCGUUUAGUGGUUCAACUCAAUGUUUCCGAGUUCUUAGCAUAUUUUGGACCCAAUUUUAACAAGUCUUUCUCCACACUUUUAAACACUCUUCAUGCAUCUCUAUCACUUGUAACCAAUCACAUUUAUUGUAUUCUAACAUAUUCUAACCCCAAACAACACUAGAUAAGUCAUUUAAUGGUUCAACGCAUUGUUUCCGAGUUCUUAGCCUAUUGGGACCCAAUUUCAACAAGUCUUUCUCCACACUUCUAAACACUCUUAAUGCAUCUCUAGAUAUUGUAAUCAAUUAAAUUUAUUCUAUUCUAACAUAUUAUAUCCCCAAAUAACACUAGAUAAGUCAUUUAGUGGUUUAACGCAAUGUUUCCGAGUUCUUAGCCCCUUUGGGACCCAAUUUCAACAAGUCUUUCU
RNAcentral lists this long non-coding RNA (475 nucleotides) under Capsella rubella. RNAcentral's name for it is "long non-coding RNA (CRUB_LNC000338)". Lineage: Eukaryota; Viridiplantae; Streptophyta; Magnoliopsida; Brassicales; Brassicaceae. The record is from RNAcentral.